This 253-nucleotide ribosomal RNA is filed under the name uncultured bacterium. RNAcentral's name for it is "partial 16S ribosomal RNA". It matches the Rfam family "Bacterial small subunit ribosomal RNA", at positions 524 to 776 of the family's 1533-position model. The record is from RNAcentral.
UACGUAGGGGGCAAGCGUUGUCCGGAUUUAUUGGGCGUAAAGAGCGUGUAGGCGGCCUGAUAGGUCAGCUGUGAAAACUCGAGGCUCAACCUCGAGACGUCGGUUGAAACCAUCUGGCUAGAGUCCGGAAGAGGAGAGUGGAAUUCCCGGUGUAGCGGUGAAAUGCGCAGAUAUCGGGAAGAACACCCGUGGCGAAGGCGGCUCUCUGGGACGGUACUGACGCUGAGACGCGAAAGCGUGGGGAGCGAACAGG